GCGCGCGACCGCACCGUCGCCUGGCUGCGCGGCCUGGCCGACGGCGGCGCCUCCUGAGCACGCGGACGAUGGCGGCGGCACGCGGGACGCAGACACGGGCACGCGGACACGGCACGCGCGCUUCCCCGACGCUGUCCAGCGCGGGGCUGGGCUCCAGCACGGAUCCCCGACGGGAUCCGGCACGGGUCUUGGUUCUGAUGCGGGUCCCCGAUGUGAUCCAGGACAGGUCUUGGCUCCGACACGGAUCCAGAACGUGAUCCAGCAUGGGUUUUGGCUCCAGCACGGCUUCAGGACACAAUCCAGCACGGAUUUUGCUUUCAGCACGGAUCUGGGCUGUAAUCCAGGACAAGUUUUGGCUCCAGCACGGCUCCAGGACACAAUCCAGCACGGAUUUUGCUUUCAGCACCGAUCUGGGCUGUAAUCCAGGACAAGUUUUGGUUCCAACCAGGCUCCAGGACGCAAUCCAGCUCGGAUCUUGCUUUCCACUGGGACCCAGGCAACAGUCCAGGAUGGGUUUCGGUUCCAACCCGGAUCCACGCUGCGAUCCUGCCCAGGUUUUGGCUCCAACCCUGACCCAGACCCAAAUCCAGGAUCCAGAUCCCGGUUUUACCCCAGCUCCAGCUCCGGGUUUUGCCCUGUGACCUGGAUCCAGAUCCUGGUUUUACCCCAGCUCCAGCUCCGGGUUUUGCCGCCCCAGCCGGUGUUGCUGCCCCCGGGCGCUUCGUUAGCGCCCCCUAAUUACCCCCCCCACAGCCGCAGCCACCUCGUUAGCAUCGUUAAUGGAAUUAUUAACGUACCGUUAUCGCGCUGGCGCCCUGGGAUGAAUUAAAGGGACGCGCAGCGCUGCCGGCCGCCUCCUCCCUGCCCGGACGCCUGGGCCCCCCGGUAGCCAUGACACGGUGCUGAGCUGAGGCUAAUGAAGUUUAUUAAAUAGCUUUAAAAACCAAAAAAAACGACAGAAAGCCCCAAAACAACAAAAGCUCCCCCGCCCCGUUGUUGACGGAAACGACGCAAACCGAACCCGGACGCCUGGG
Molecule: long non-coding RNA, 1034 nt
Filed under: Apteryx haastii (Great spotted kiwi)
Lineage: Eukaryota; Metazoa; Chordata; Aves; Apterygiformes; Apterygidae
Description: lncRNA (ENSAHAG00000006462.1)
Source: RNAcentral